RNAcentral lists this ribosomal RNA (253 nucleotides) under uncultured bacterium. RNAcentral's name for it is "partial 16S ribosomal RNA". It matches the Rfam family "Bacterial small subunit ribosomal RNA", at positions 524 to 776 of the family's 1533-position model. The record is from RNAcentral.
UACGUAGGUGGCAAGCGUUAUCCGGAAUUAUUGGGCGUAAAGCGCGCGCAGGCGGUUUCUUAAGUCUGAUGUGAAAGCCCACGGCUCAACCGUGGAGGGUCAUUGGAAACUGGGGAACUUGAGUGCAGAAGAGGAAAGCGGAAUUCCACGUGUAGCGGUGAAAUGCGUAGAGAUGUGGAGGAACACCAGUGGCGAAGGCGGCUUUUUGGUCUGUAACUGACGCUGAGGCGCGAAAGCGUGGGGAGCAAACAGG